This is a non-coding RNA of Zonotrichia albicollis (white-throated sparrow), 1007 nucleotides long. The record is from RefSeq and is a predicted model, not a curated record. NCBI's taxonomy places the organism in Eukaryota, Metazoa, Chordata, Aves, Passeriformes, Passerellidae.
CUGCGGGCGCUGGGAGCAGCCGGAGGGCGGCAAGGUCCCAAUGAGCGGAAAGGUUCCAGCGCAGCGAGGCUGGGGAAGCCCAGGCAGCCUGCGCUGUUCGCCUGGAGCAGCCCUCGCCCACAACCUCCUAAAGCUCUUUGGACACUUCCAUUAAGGCUGCAUGAAGAGCAGAAGUGGGAAGUUACUUGUCCCUGGCGUGCUAUGAACGAGUGAUGCUGGUUUUACUUCUGCUGCAUUCAGAAAGUGGCUGUGAGUUUAUAGAUUUGAUGUUGGAGGUGUGUGCUGGAGUCUGCAUUCUAUUCAAAUCAAUCUUUUUGGAGGUUGUCACUUUAUCGAGACUGAAUCUCAUAAACCAACCGAGGAAACAAAUCCUGCGCGGGGCUGCCUCUUUGCAAAUGUGAUUUUUGACUCAUGCUGCUGGCAUCCCUGACCUGUAUGCUCACUCCUGCAGGGGGACUGUGGAUGGGGUGAAUGACGUCUAAAGUUUUCUCACAGAGCCUGAAAAAGCAGUGGAGAACCCAGUUAAGUGCAGAAGGAGCAGUGAUGGGCAGUGGACAAGAUACGAUGAUGAAGCUGAUAGGCUACAGGAACUAAAGCUGGGAGAGAUCAGUAUGAACUGGUCUGCAAUGGAGCUUCAAAACCAGCUUGCCUGAGGAAGGAGUACUCUCCCUCUGGAUUCUUAUCUCCCUGGAGAGACUGAAGUUCAUGAACUGCUGUCCAUGAAGGUCCGUGGUAGAGGAUUGCUCUUAACCCCAUAAAAAAAAAUUAAAAUCUAAAUAUCAGUGAUUGUCUCCUCCUUGAUGAAAGUGAAUAUAAGGAGUAGGUUGCCAUAGCAAAGAACAGAACAGAAGCUGGGAAUUUCCUUCUGGUUUUUGGCAGAAGAAAAGUGGUACUUUCCCUUUACUUCAGCUGCUGUUUACUCAGAAAGUGAGUAUAUUUAACUGUAUUAAGGCUAUAUAUUAACAGAGAGGUCUUGCACAUAAAUAUAUUUUUUUGAAAAUUCAGAG